CUUACCGAUUCUCCAGAAACGUAAGAUUAUUUUUAAACGAACUAUUUAAAGGAAGAUCCUCGAUAUUUCGCUUCCUUAUAAUAAUGAAGAUAAACGCUGAAGAGAUUUUAGAAGAACUUCAAAAGAAUCUCAAUUAUGAAACGAUCCUUUGACGUCUAUCGAUCGAGCGAACGGUGACACGAUUGAUGGAGCAAAGACGUCGAACGUGAUUGAUCGAGCCUUCUAUAUUCUCUAUCUCGUGACAGUCUGGUGACAGCCUUGAAGUCGUCUUGAGGUGAACAUACGAAGAGGUUUUAUGUAGUAGUAGAUACUUAGCAAGUAGUAAGCCGUGAAUUCGUAGCGGCAGAUGUAUGAAGCUAGCGAUAAUGGUCGACGACACUUAGAAACAAAGGAAGGAAUGAACUAUUUAAAGAGGAACAUAACGCACUAUUACGCGGUUUCGAAUGCACUGCACCCGGGUGAGUCGAUCGAAGUAAAAGUAAUCGCGGCACCGUGAUUGAUCGGCCCACGCGUUGCAUUAAAACGAAAUCGGUUGCAGUGGCCGUGUCGUUUUAUAUUGAAACCGUUACCCGCCACUCGUUCUUCUAUUUUUGCGCCAACACUUUCCCUUUCCUCUAUCUAGCGCAGCAUGCGACGCGACGCGACGUCGCGAAAGACCAACAAUGUGCUCUCUCGCUUUUAAUUAUCUGAACGGAGUACCUUUGUACGGGUUAAAUAUCGUCUCGAGAAACGAUUAAUAAUAAACUUUGUUUAUAUCGAGUGGAAACGACGUAGCAUCAAGAUCGUAAAUAUCAAGUAUUAAGUGGCGGCGGUCAUUGAUGUACAUCGUUUAGCUUAGGAUUGUUUUAACGUUGUAAGAGUUUCGUAGGAGUAUCUUGAGAUGUACAGGUAUCAUUCGUACAUAGAUUUUGCAAUUAUGACCCCUUUGUCAAUAUCUUUCAGGCUCCAAAAUUACACAUGAAAAAGAAUCGUUAAGAAUCGUUAUCAAAACGAUCGACGAACAGCUCAAUUUAUGAUCGAUCGGGUUAUCCCCGACUAUUAUCGAGCGACUUUUUAUCAUUGAUCUGCGCUAAUGCAUCGAAUGCAUGUUGCAUGAACGUUGAAAGGAAAUAAGAGAUAAAGAUUGUUUGAUAUUUUUGGAUUAUUGAGUAAUUUGAGAUUUGGAGAAAUGAUAUUUGACAAAUUGAAUUAUUAAAAUUCUGAUUAUUAUAUGCAGUCGCACGAGGGAAUUAACUGUAUGUAAAUAAAACACUUGCUAUAUUGUAGUAUUAAAAAGUCGUAAGAAUUAAGAUUUUCAAGAAUAGCGUUUAACAAUAACGAACGAGCAAGUUUUAUGGAUAUUUUUAAAUUUGCAACUUUAAAGUCUUUGAAAUGUGCGUGCUCAAAAUGAUUUCGAAUUUCAACACAUUUGCACUGAGGUGUGACAAACUGAAUAUACGAUAGCGUAAUUUGAUUACUGUAGUUGAAGUCCAUAAAAUUGUUCAAGAAUUAGGAAGAUGUAGUAAUUUGCUAUAAAGAACGGCACGCCAAAAUAUUUAGAUAGAUCGAUAUAUUUUCUGUUUCGUAAAGAUCAAUAAAAUCCAACGAUUGCUCGACCCGACAAUGGUCGAUUAGAAUUCCGCCAGUUUCAAACGGUACCAGCUCGUCCGAGGAACAAUUAAAUUGCUUAUAAAUGAACGUUGGAUCGAUUUGGAUCGUGAUGUACGUAUCUAAUCGAUGGGAUAAUAUGUAGUUCAAAGUAUAAACAGUAGAACACUGUCAGAAUUGCUGUCCUAAAUGAAUCAAUUCUGAUAACGUGAAGCAAAAAACUUCUCUGGAAUCUUUGCUAAAACUUCCAAUUGCACAAUAGAGAACGGAAUAUUCUCUAAUGUUAUCAAAUAUUAUUAAUCGCAUCAUUUUAUAUCUAUCUAAGAGUCCAAUUUUAAAUGGUAGCUAAUAUAAAUUAUUAAUAAAGUUGGCAAUAUAAUUAAUGAUAUGAUAUUGUAAGAUAAUACGAAAAAUCAAACAUAUAUUUGCAUGAAACGAUCUUAUAACGAAUGUUAAAUCGUUUUCUCUUUGUGUCAACCAGUCCUUGGCACUUUAUCCGCAAGAUAAUUGAUUUUUCUAUUGGUUAAGGGAACAGUGAUUAGGAUAGGAUUUUCUAUUAACUCUGAAAUCAAUAGAGCGUUCGCCUAAUAAUUUCUAUCAAAUCGCUGCCUUGGUGAAUAUGUUAAUCGUCGCUGUUUCUAUCUUAAAGAUUAAAACUGAUAAAAUUCUAAUUUUCCUCUGGCUCAAUCGCUAAAGAUUUAGAUCAUUUUCUUAUUAAAUAUUACGAUAACUAUUCCAAAAACAAUAUUUAGUUUUGAAUUGCGUAUCAAAUUAAUCAUAAUUAAAAAUUUUCGAUCCUCGAUCCAAAACAUCUUUCUUUAAUCACCAAUCAUCGAAAUUCCUCGCAAAUACGAAACUCACUGUUAAAUAUACGGCUAAGUACGAAAGUUCAUUGUCAACAUAACGUAUACUAUGGAUAUAACGAAUAUAUGAUCUUUAAUUUUAAUAACAAGAAACGACGGAAAAAUAGAUAAAAUAGCGUUUUCGAUGGUAAAUAAAGUCUAAUAUAUUUUUCCCUAAA
Long non-coding RNA from Bombus pyrosoma, 2608 nucleotides. RefSeq lists it as uncharacterized. The transcript is spliced from 2 exons. The record is from RefSeq and is a predicted model, not a curated record. NCBI's taxonomy places the organism in Eukaryota, Metazoa, Arthropoda, Insecta, Hymenoptera, Apidae.